This 442-nucleotide ribosomal RNA is filed under the name uncultured bacterium. Its description in RNAcentral is "partial 16S ribosomal RNA". It matches the Rfam family "Bacterial small subunit ribosomal RNA", at positions 338 to 795 of the family's 1533-position model. The record is from RNAcentral.
CCUACGGGUGGCAGCAGUGGGGAAUAUUGGGCAAUGGGCGCAAGCCUGACCCAGCAACGCCGCGUGAAGGAAGCAGGCUUUCGGGUUGUAAACUUCUUUUCUGGGGGACGAACAAAUGACGGUACCCCAGGAAUAAGCCACGGCUAACUACGUGCCAGCAGCCGCGGUAAUACGUAGGUGGCAAGCGUUAUCCGGAUUUAUUGGGUGGAAAGGGCGUGUAGGCGGGAAUGCAAGUCAGAUGGGAAAACUCAGGGCUCAACCCUGAGCCUGCAUGUGAAACUGUGUUUCUUGAGUGCUGGAGAGGCAAUCGGAAUUCCGUGUGUAGCGGUGAAAUGCGUAGAUAUACGGAGGAACACCAGUGGCGAAGGCGGAUUGCUGGACAGUAACUGACGCUGAGGCGCGAAAGCGUGGGGAGCAAACAGGAUUAGAUACCCCAGUAGUC